UACUAGAGUGGCGAACGGGUGAGUAACACGUGGGUGAUCUGCCCUGCACUUCGGGAUAAGCCUGGGAAACUGGGUCUAAUACCGGAUAGGAGCCAUUUUUAGUGUGAUGGUUGGAAAGUUUUUUCGGUGUAGGAUGAGCUCGCGGCCUAUCAGCUUGUUGGUGGGGUAAUGGCCUACCAAGGCGGCGACGGGUAGCCGGCCUGAGAGGGUGGACGGCCACAUUGGGACUGAGAUACGGCCCAG
This 243-nucleotide ribosomal RNA is filed under the name uncultured Actinomycetales bacterium. RNAcentral describes it as "partial 16S ribosomal RNA". It matches the Rfam family "Bacterial small subunit ribosomal RNA", at positions 88 to 334 of the family's 1533-position model. Lineage: Bacteria; Bacillati; Actinomycetota; Actinomycetes; Actinomycetales. The record is from RNAcentral.